AUCAUGGCUCAGAAUAACGCUGGCGGCGCGCUUAACACAUGCAAGUCGAACGAGAAAGCCCGCGAGGGUGAGUAAAGUGGCGUACGGGUGAGUAACACGUGGGUAAUCUACCUUUUGGUGGGGAAUAACCCUGGGAAACCGGGGCUAAUACCGCAUAAGCUCGAAAGAGGAAAGGAGCAAUUCGCCGAAAGAGGAGCCCGCGGCUGAUUAGCUAGUUGGUAGGGUAAAAGCCUACCAAGGCUAUGAUCGGUAGCCGGCCUGAGAGGGCACACGGCCACACUGGCACUGAAACACGGGCCAGACUCCUACGGGAGGCAGCAGUGGGGAAUCUUGCACAAUGGGGGAAACCCUGAUGCAGCGACGCCGCGUGAGUGAUGAAGCCCUUCGGGGUGUAAAGCUCUUUCGGCAGGGACGAUAAUGACGGUACCUGAAGAAGAAGCUGCGGCUAACUACGUGCCAGCAGCCGCGGUAAUACGUAGGCAGCGAGCGUUGUUCGGAGUUACUGGGCGUAAAGAGUGCGUAGGCGGUUUUCUAAGUUUGGUGUGAAAUCUCCCGGCUUAACUGGGAGGGUGCGCCGAAGACUGGAAGGCUAGAGUAUGGGAGAGGUAAGCGGAAUUCCUGGUGUAGCGGUGAAAUGCGUAGAUAUCAGGAGGAACACCUGCGGUGUAGACGGCUUACUGGACCAUAACUGACGCUGAGGCACGAAAGCGUGGGUAGCAAACAGGAUUAGAUACCCUGGUAG
RNAcentral lists this ribosomal RNA (742 nucleotides) under uncultured bacterium. RNAcentral describes it as "bacterial SSU rRNA". It matches the Rfam family "Bacterial small subunit ribosomal RNA", at positions 16 to 793 of the family's 1533-position model. The record is from RNAcentral.